AGCAGCCGCGGUAAUUCCAGCUCCAAUAGCGUAUAUUAAAGUUGUUGCAGUUAAAAAGCUCGUAGUUGAAUUUCGGGGUCAGUAGGUUGGUCGUGCCACCGGUACGUACUGGUCUCACUGAUUCCUCCUUCCUGAAGAACCGUAAUGCCAUUAAUUUGGUGUUGCGGGGAAACAGGACUGUUACUUUGAAAAAAUUAGAGUGUUUAAAGCAGGCUAACGCUUGAAUACAUUAGCAUGGAAUAAUGAAAUAGGACGAUCGAUCCUAUUUUGUUGGUUUCUAGGAUUGACGUAAUGAUUAAUAGGGAUAGUUGGGGGCAUUAGUAUUCAAUUGUCAGAGGUGAAAUUCUUGGAUUUAUUGAAGACUAACUACUGCGAAAGCAUUUGCCAAGGAUGUUUUCAUUAAUCAAGAACGAAAGUUAGGGGAUCGAAGACGAUCAGAUACCGUCGUAGUCUUAACCAUAAACUAUGCCGACUAGGGAUCGGAUGAUGUUAAUUUUAUAAUGACUCAUUCGGCACCUUA
RNAcentral lists this ribosomal RNA (520 nucleotides) under uncultured Glomus. Its description in RNAcentral is "SSU rRNA". It matches the Rfam family "Eukaryotic small subunit ribosomal RNA", at positions 569 to 1090 of the family's 1831-position model. Lineage: Eukaryota; Fungi; Glomeromycota; Glomeromycetes; Glomerales; Glomeraceae. The record is from RNAcentral.